RNAcentral lists this ribosomal RNA (723 nucleotides) under uncultured eukaryote. RNAcentral describes it as "bacterial SSU rRNA". It matches the Rfam family "Eukaryotic small subunit ribosomal RNA", at positions 670 to 1497 of the family's 1831-position model. The record is from RNAcentral.
CGAGCGCACGGAUUCGGCCGGACCUUUCCUUCUGGGGAGCCCGAUGCCCUUUACUGGGCGUCGCGGGGAACCAGGACUUUUACCUUGAAAAAAUUAGAGUGUUCAAAGCAGGCAUUUGCUCGAAUACAUUAGCAUGGAAUAAUAGAAUAGGACAGAGGUUCUAUUUUGUUGGUUUCUAGGACCGCUGUAAUGAUUAAUAGGGAUAGUCGGGGGCGUCCGUAUUCAAUUGUCAGAGGUGAAAUUCUUGGAUUUAUUGAAGACGAACUACUGCGAAAGCAUUCGCCAAGGAUGUUUUCAUUAAUCAGUGAACGAAAGUUAGGGGAUCGAAGACGAUCAGAUACCGUCGUAGUCUUAACCAUAAACUAUGCCGACUAGGGAUCGGACGGUGGUUCUUUUAUGCCCCGUUCGGCACCUUACGAGAAAUCAAAGUGUUUGGGCUCGGGGGGGAGUAUGGUCGCAAGGCUGAAACUUAAAGAAAUUGACGGAAGGGCACCACAAGGCGUAAACGCCGUAGGAAAUCUGCGCCUCACAGGCACCCCGACUCCAAAGGGGUGGUGGCAAGUCCUGGCCGGACCCGACCAACUGGUCGUCCGGCCGAAAAGCCUAGUCAGCCCGCCGGCUGGCGAGACCCUCAAAUUGCGUGAAAACCCUGACACCCGCUCCUACCGCCGGGAGGACGACGAAGUCCUCCGCGGCACCAUGGGUAACGCCCACGGGUACGGU